GAGGCGAUUGUCAUGAUCGGCCCAAGGAAUUGCGUGGUGGAACUGUCGUCACGGUGAAUGGCGUGGAGCUGACCGUCUAUGGGAAUGUGAGUGCCAGUGCAUUGCAGCAGAUCAAUCACGCCCAGCAAGAGGAUGCGUCAAACCCUAACUUAUUAGAUCCCGCCGAUGAGGAAGAAGAAGAGGAGCGUCUGCGCCGCGAGAGCGCGAUUGCGCGGGCUAAUCGCGAGGACGAGGCGAGGCGAUCCGCGCCAAUCCCACCGGAUCGGCGCGAGGCGAUCAUGGGUGCGAUGCUGAACGUCAGCAUUGGAGGUUUUUGCCCCAACUGGGCGAGCAAGGUAAACGACGAGCAGUGGAUGGAGAAGCUCAAGGAGCUGAACCCUAGAAAAGGCUAGUGUGCACGAGAUUUGAGCCCACGAGCUCCGUCCCUCCGGAAUUGGGCGAGAAUCGAUCCCCCGACCUGGACACGACCCUCAAAUCCCGAAUUUUGUCCUCUCGUCCAGAAUCUCCAAUAGAAUCACACAGCAUUUUCUGUUAUCUCUCCCCUUUUUGUUUCCGUUAAAAAAGCUCAUCAUAUCCGGUUUGGCAUUUAGCCCGAUUUUUUGCUCCCAAAAGAAAUUCUCGCCAUACACAAAAACGAACGACUCAUCGCAUUAAUGAUUGCGAGCCCGCCACGUCGGACGCGGGAUGGGCCAUGGCCCAUGUGAGCCACAUUACGUGGCCGGCGGGGAUCCAUGACGUGGCGAUCUAUGCCCAUGGCUGCCAUUCAACCCGGCGCUGGGGUCCC
RNAcentral lists this long non-coding RNA (784 nucleotides) under Selaginella moellendorffii. Its description in RNAcentral is "long non-coding RNA (SMOE_LNC000514)". The record is from RNAcentral. Lineage: Eukaryota; Viridiplantae; Streptophyta; Lycopodiopsida; Selaginellales; Selaginellaceae.